GUGCUUGCUUCGGCAGCACAUAUACUAGAAAUUGGAACGAUACAGAGAUUAGCAUGGCCCUGUGCAAGGAUGACACACAAAUUCGUGAAGCGUUCCACAUUAAA
Molecule: small nuclear RNA, 104 nt
Filed under: Myotis brandtii (Brandt's bat)
Lineage: Eukaryota; Metazoa; Chordata; Mammalia; Chiroptera; Vespertilionidae
Source: RNAcentral